CCAUCAUUGGUUGUCUUCGUGGCAGGUUUCAACACACAGAAAUUUGGUGGCUUGGCAGAGAGAGAGUUCACAACACGUGUUUGAGCUGAAAAGGGAGAGUCAGGGGGACUCUCAAGAAAGCGGUCGGUCGGAUUCGUUGGGAAUUUGGAGGUGACGAAUGGUCAGAAAUGAGACUACCUAGAAGAUAGCUGUCAUUACGUGGGCCAUGGGAAGAAGUCUCAGGAAGGCCUGAGAAGGGCUGUUUUGACUUCAAGUGGCAAGAUUCUUAGGAAGAAUCCUUUGCAAAAGGAAAUCUGGACACAUUUCCAGUGCUGCUUGGGCUUGUGCGAGAGGAAAGAUAUCAGCACCCCUCAAAUCUUAGCAUAAACCACCUCAAGACCUGCGGGACCAAACUGAACAGUAUUUCCUCUCUUUCAACGCAUGUGUAUGAGAGGGCGAGAGACCCUUUUUUUCUGAUCUUCUGCUCAGCCCAAGCACUUGGCUUUGAGAAAAGAGGAAGAACUCUGUGAGGGGCAGAUCGUACACUCAAGAUGAGGUUUCCUGAUCUGCCCCUCCUGAGUUCUGGCUUCUGGGACAAGAAGUGUCUGGCCUUGCGUGGAAAAGCAAGGGCCCCUUUGCUGCAAUUUUCAGCUGCCUACAAGUGUGACCGAGUUUUUCCUCAUUUAACAUUCAUCAAAAGCAGGGACAGAAAUGGUCUCACUUCAGCUGAGAAUAAAAUCUGUGUGCUUAUCACAAGUUUGACCAAGAACUGAGUAUUUUUGCACUAAGAACAAUAACACACAGAUCACAUUUCAAAGAUGAGGAAACGGAAACUCAGAGGUGUGAGUUGACUUGCCUCGGGCCCCAGUUGGCAGAGACAAGACUGGAAGGGAAGUCUGACGCGAUCCCAUCCAGGACGCCAAGGACUUGGGGCUAUCUAUAGUCGUAGGCACACUAUGUUGCUGGUGCUUUUUAAAUGGGAAAUGUCGGGAGAGGUAUGCCUUCUGAAUGUUCAAUAACAAGUGAGUUAAGUUGGGUGACUAAGCCUAUUGCAGAGUCUGAACAUGAGAUGAAAUCUGCAUGUGGGUAACAGUGGGACUGAAGAGGAAGCAACUGGCACUUUCAAGUGUUGAGUCAAGAUGUCCUAUGAGCAAGAUUUGGAGCACAGUGAAAGAGACAUCUUCCAAAGGAACAGAGUAGAGAUUGUUCCUGAAGGGUUUGAACAGCAUAAGCCUGAGGCAGAAAACAUAUGCUAUUGAAAAAUGGAUGUCUUUCUUUUGGAACUAAUGCUAGUGUUGGAUUUAUUCCCUCUUAUAAUUUACCUACCACCUGAAGGGAAAUUACCUUUUAUGAUGGUCGGAGGGGCACCUAGCUGUCUCAGCCUGUAGAGCAUGUGACUCUAAAUCUCAGGGUCGUGAGUUCAAGCCUCACAUUGGGCAUGGAGCCUACUUAAAAAAAAAAAAAAAAAAAGAAAGAAA
Molecule: long non-coding RNA, 1457 nt
Organism: Acinonyx jubatus (cheetah)
Lineage: Eukaryota; Metazoa; Chordata; Mammalia; Carnivora; Felidae
Exons: 3
Source: RefSeq, a predicted model, not a curated record